RNAcentral lists this ribosomal RNA (253 nucleotides) under uncultured bacterium. RNAcentral describes it as "partial 16S ribosomal RNA". It matches the Rfam family "Bacterial small subunit ribosomal RNA", at positions 524 to 776 of the family's 1533-position model. The record is from RNAcentral.
UACGUAGGGUGCGAGCGUUGUCCGGAAUUAUUGGGCGUAAAGGGCUCGUAGGCGGUUUGUCGCGUCGGGAGUGAAAUCAUCUGGCUUAACUGGGUGCUUGCUUUCGAUACGGGCAGACUAGAGGUAUGCAGGGGAGAACGGAAUUCCUGGUGUAGCGGUGAAAUGCGCAGAUAUCAGGAGGAACACCGGUGGCGAAGGCGGUUCUCUGGGCAUGACCUGACGCUGAGGAGCGAAAGUGUGGGGGGCGAACAGG